RNAcentral lists this ribosomal RNA (305 nucleotides) under uncultured bacterium. RNAcentral describes it as "bacterial SSU rRNA". It matches the Rfam family "Bacterial small subunit ribosomal RNA", at positions 333 to 654 of the family's 1533-position model. The record is from RNAcentral.
UAUUACCUACGGGGCGCAGCAGUGGGGAAUAUUGCACAAUGGGGGAAACCCUGAUGCAGCGGCGCCGCGUGAGUGAAGAAGUAUUUCGGUAUGUAAAGCUCUAUCAGCAGGGAAGAAAAAAGACGGUACCUGACUAAGAAGCCCCGGCUAACUACGUGCCAGCAGCCGCGGUAAUACGUAGGGGGCAAGCGUUAUCCGGAUUUACUGGGUGUAAAGGGAGUGUAGACGGUCCUGCAAGCCAGAUGUGAAAGCCCGGGGCUCAACCCCGGGACUGCAUUUGGAACUGUAAGGCUAGAGUGUCGGAG